CCAGAAAUUUCUGUUGCUACAAUGGAAAUACGGGCUACACUGACCUGCCCUUAUGAAAACCAAGCAGAGUAGACCCUGUGACCUCCUGGAACAAAGGGUGAACUCACCUCUCAUUAAGUAUCUGGAAGCCCUCAUGCUUGACCCUGGCCUGGCUGUAGAAUCAUGUUUUAAUUUAAAGAACAGGGAUGUUUCCAUCCAGAACAAUAGACAGGAUCUGUGGGGAGGGGAAAAGUGGCUGUUUCUCUUCAAACAGUCCAUGUGAUACUAUUAGAAGACUCAGCUGAGAGUCACUUAGCUAAGCACUGGCUUUCAGACUUCAAUGUCCAUAUAAAUUAUUUGCUAUUCUAAGCCUUACUGUAAGUAACAAAAUUCUGGAGGUUUGAAAAGGGUCCAUGAAUUACACAGCUUCUUAUAGCAAGUCUCCUGUUAAUGCUGAUAUUCCUCCCUCUAGAUCCAUUAUAGUAACACUCAGCUAGAGAAAGCAGGCACAGCACACAGGGUCCCUUAUCCCAACACAAAUACUUUUCACCUGAAGACAAGACUACCAAUCAUCAUCCUGAAACAUGACAUUCUCUGCAGGCCCUUCAAAGGUUACAGAGGCUGGAGAUGGUGGCAAUGUCUGAGAAAUUGGAAGCACCAGCUCUGGAGUGGCAGUAGGAGUAGCCACCCCAAACUCUUAUCUCCUCUAAGCAGUUCUGUGAGAGAUUUCAGUGUGGGGUCAGACCUGGACAAGAUUCAGCAGAGGGUGGAUCUGGGCAGAGCUGGGACAGACAGUGGGCCCUAGGCUUCUGCUCUCUAGGCCAUUAAGUGUUUUCAGUUUUGUUUUUUCUAAGCCUGACAAAGAGAGAUUUUAUUCCCAGAGUUUGUGUGAUUUUAACCUACUUUCGCCACUUCCCUGUCUAUAUUACAACAUACAGUAAGAAGGAACUUAAUCAAAAUCCUUAUUUUUUCUAGACCAAUUAUAUUAAGAGCCAAAUACUUA
Molecule: long non-coding RNA, 982 nt
Filed under: Homo sapiens (human)
Lineage: Eukaryota; Metazoa; Chordata; Mammalia; Primates; Hominidae
Description: HSALNT0067737
Source: RNAcentral